AAAUUGCCCUGAUGUGGGGGAUAACCAUUGGAAACGAUGGCUAAUACCGCAUGAUGCCUACGGGCCAAAGAGGGGGACCUUCGGGCCUCUCGCGUCAGGAUAUGCCUAGGUGGGAUUAGCUAGUUGGUGAGGUAAGGGCUCACCAAGGCGACGAUCCCUAGCUGGUCUGAGAGGAUGAUCAGCCACACUGGAACUGAGACACGGUCCAGACUCCUACGGGAGGCAGCAGUGGGGAAUAUUGCACAAUGGGCGCAAGCCUGAUGCAGCCAUGCCGCGUGUGUGAAGAAGGCCUUCGGGUUGUAAAGCACUUUCAGUCGUGAGGAAGGUAGUGUAGUUAAUAGCUGCAUUAUUUGACGUUAGCGACAGAAGAAGCACCGGCUAACUCCGUGCCAGCAGCCGCGGUAAUACGGAGGGUGCGAGCGUUAAUCGGAAUUACUGGGCGUAAAGCGCAUGCAGGUGGUUUGUUAAGUCAGAUGUGAAAGCCCGGGGCUCAACCUCGGAAUUGCAUUUGAAACUGGCAGACUAGAGUACUGUAGAGGGGGGUAGAAUUUC
This 552-nucleotide ribosomal RNA is filed under the name bacterium PK52. RNAcentral's name for it is "bacterial SSU rRNA". It matches the Rfam family "Bacterial small subunit ribosomal RNA", at positions 123 to 670 of the family's 1533-position model. The record is from RNAcentral.